UAGACUCUGCUGAGGGUCGAGCCGUUGCUCCCCGUCCGGUGCCCCGGCGCCAGGACCGGGUCUACAGACUGUUGAGGGGGCAAAGUAGGAGCCUGAGGAGAGGAGGCCAGGCGACCCUGCCUCCCUCCGGGGCCAGCGCUUCCGAAUUCUGCUCGGCGUCCGGGCGUCCGCGCCCUCCUGGGGCCUCGGCCUUCUGAGGCGAAGGGGCCAGGGGAGGCCCGGGUUAGCGAGGCCAUGUCCGGCUCUGGCCUGCCCGGCCCCGCUCGUUCCACGUCAGCGUUUUGUCACUCCCGGCCGAAGGCCUGCGCGCCGCCGACAAGUACUCCCGAGGCGCGGGCCGAUGUAGGUUGGUGCAGGACUUCUGGGGGCCACAAGUGCUCCUUUUCCUGGAGAUGUGACCCAAGGUGAGCUGUUACAGCCUCUUCCUGGCAGCCUGUGCUCCCACCCCGGAAUCCUGCGCUUCUUCUCCGUCCUGCCUCUCCAGUUUGCUUCUACUCCACUGGCUGCAGGGGACUUCCCUGGUGGCGCAGUGGUUAAGAAUCGCCUGCCAAUGCAGAGGACACGGGUUCGAGUCCUGGUCUGGGAAGAUCCCACAUGCCGCGGAGCAACUAAGCCCAUGUGCCACAACUACUGAGCCCGCAAGCCACAACUGCUGAAGCCCGCACACCUAGCGCCCGUGCUCCGCAACAAGAGAAGCCACCGCAAUGAGAAGCCCGUGCACCACAACGAAGAGUAGCCCCCGAUCUCUGCAACUAGAGAAAGCCCGCGCACAGCAAUGAAGACCCAAUGCAGGCAAAAAUAAAUAAAUAAAUAAAUAUAAAUUUAUAAAAACAGCAACAACAAACCAACCAAACAAAAAACCUUCCGUGAUCCUGCUGCUGCCUCUAGAUAUUGGCUUUGCCACCAAACUCCGGAGGGAAUAGAUUUACCCUUCCGACUUUCUUCUCACCAUCUCCAUCUUUAAUCUCACAAUUCGGCGUCUCUCAACUGCUCUCACCAAGGUGGCCUGUGACUCCCUGAUUACCAGAGAGGUGGUAAUCAGGGAGGAGACCCCCACCCCAGUCUCCUCUCUGCUCUCCUGGGACACCUGACACUGCGGGUCAGCUGCCUCCUUGAGACUCUCUUCUCUUGGCUUUUCACGCACUAUUGUCUUGACACUCUUUAAAUCUGUUUAAAUCAAAUUAUCGAGUACAUUGUCCUGUGCCCAGCAUUGUGCUAAAAUGCUGCAGGGAUGCAAAGAUGAAUACAUGGCGGAGGCUGCCCUCACGAUGCUACCUGCUUAAAAGGGAGGCAGACACAGCAGCCCUUGUCCUGCCCAUCCUCCAAGAACGGCGUCAGGUCCCACGCGGAAGCACUUACUGUGUCCUAGGCGCUGGGAGUACAGCGUGGUCUUCAGAUGCCACUUCCUGCCCUAUGGGGCCCACGGCCCAGCAGACCAGCAGGGCCCUCGCCCAACUGGAUGUGAUCACUCCCUCCUUCUUGACUUAAAUAGUAUUUUGCCUGCGUCUUUCUGCACUUAAUCAAAUUCUGCUUUGGAUUCUAGCAUUUGGCAGGGGGUGGAG
Long non-coding RNA from Balaenoptera ricei (Rice's whale), 1562 nucleotides. RefSeq lists it as uncharacterized. NCBI's taxonomy places the organism in Eukaryota, Metazoa, Chordata, Mammalia, Artiodactyla, Balaenopteridae. The record is from RefSeq and is a predicted model, not a curated record. The transcript is spliced from 3 exons.